RNAcentral lists this ribosomal RNA (747 nucleotides) under uncultured bacterium. RNAcentral describes it as "bacterial SSU rRNA". It matches the Rfam family "Bacterial small subunit ribosomal RNA", at positions 82 to 827 of the family's 1533-position model. The record is from RNAcentral.
UGAUGGGCGUCGACUGGCGCACGGGUGAGUAACGCGUAUCCAACCUGCCCACCACUUGGGGAUAACCUUGCGAAAGUAAGACUAAUACCCAAUGACGUCUCUAGAAGACAUCUGAAGGAGAUUAAAGAUUUAUCGGUGAUGGAUGGGGAUGCGUCUGAUUAGCUUGUUGGCGGGGUAACGGCCCACCAAGGCGACGAUCAGUAGGGGUUCUGAGAGGAAGGUCCCCCACAUUGGAACUGAGACACGGUCCAAACUCCUACGGGAGGCAGCAGUGAGGAAUAUUGGUCAAUGGGCGAGAGCCUGAACCAGCCAAGUAGCGUGCAGGAUGACGGCCCUAUGGGUUGUAAACUGCUUUUAUAAGGGAAUAAAGUGAGUCUCGUGAGACUUUUUGCAUGUACCUUAUGAAUAAGGACCGGCUAAUUCCGUGCCAGCAGCCGCGGUAAUACGGAAGGUCCGGGCGUUAUCCGGAUUUAUUGGGUUUAAAGGGAGCGUAGGCCGGAGAUUAAGCGUGUUGUGAAAUGUAGAUGCUCAACAUCUGAACUGCAGCGCGAACUGGUUUCCUUGAGUACGCACAAAGUGGGCGGAAUUCGUGGUGUAGCGGUGAAAUGCUUAGAUAUCACGAAGAACUCCGAUUGCGAAGGCAGCUCACUGGAGCGCAACUGACGCUGAAGCUCGAAAGUGCGGGUAUCGAACAGGAUUAGAUACCCUGGUAGUCCGCACGGUAAACGAUGGAUGCCCGCUGUUGGU